Molecule: small RNA, 23 nt
Filed under: Arabidopsis thaliana (thale cress)
Lineage: Eukaryota; Viridiplantae; Streptophyta; Magnoliopsida; Brassicales; Brassicaceae
Description: ATSL043620
Source: RNAcentral
UAAAUAUAUGUAGCUGAACGAAA